GGCGUCCCAUAAUAUCAGUGCAGUGUUUUCCCUUGCAAGAUUCCAAGAAACAUCAGACAUAACCUUCAUGUUCAUCUAGUUUGUGAUGUGACUGCAACGGGACUACCCCCAGAAAGUUGUGACCUAGUUAUGCUAGUGUAUCCUGCAAAGUUAUCCCAGAUUCAUCAGCAUUAAUUGGAAAAUGUUGCAUAUAGUUACGGCUAUACAUAAUAUAGUGUACAAGUAAUGACAAAGUAUAACUCAUAGAGUGAAUGCUUGAUGAUACAAUAAACGUAAUAAGCCACUUCAGAGAUACAAAUUAAUGUCCCCCAAAUAUCCACAGAUCUUUUACACAUGGAAACGUCCCACCUUGUGCAUUUUAGAAAAUCAAUGCCAAAGUGUGGACGUGCUUCAUGAUAUCUUUUGUUUGCCGUCUUGAAAAGAAUACUUCCACCUGUGCAGCAUAGAGUGUUUCACCGAUGCAUAAGUAAAUAUCUUUUUGAACGUGUAUCCAGCAAUCUCCUCCAUGGGUUUUACAGUUUUUUUUUGCAAACGGCCCAUAUCUACCCAUGCACAGAUAGUAUCUCUGAUGUGGCUUAUUGUUGUACAUUUCAACACCACAUUAUGAGGAAAACCUACAUGUACAUAAGGACCUACUGGUGUUUUUAACUUGUAGGUUGUAGACAAUACUACAAGAGCUGUUAUCCUUGAAAUCAGCUGUAGAAAAAAAAAUGCUUACUGUAUAUUUUAUAUACAUGUACUGGUAUUAUAACAUACAGCGUGUCUGUUAUAAAGUGCUUUCAUCUAUAAUACUAAAAAAAAUCACCCAAAACACAAAGUCUGUGAACACUGGGAUGUUUCAGAUUAUAAGUAAUGAUGAUGUAACUUUCUAAGUACAAUUUGUUCGAAUAAUCCGAAUGUGCAAUACAAUGUAAUAGUGUUCAAUGCAUUUACAACUCUCUACUGAGGUAUCCUGUUAUGAACUACUUUAAAAUCUUCAUAUUGGCAUCCAUUAAAUUAGAAUUGUCAGUUUGAAUACUCA
Long non-coding RNA from Strongylocentrotus purpuratus (purple sea urchin), 1021 nucleotides. RefSeq lists it as uncharacterized. NCBI's taxonomy places the organism in Eukaryota, Metazoa, Echinodermata, Echinoidea, Camarodonta, Strongylocentrotidae. The transcript is spliced from 2 exons. The record is from RefSeq and is a predicted model, not a curated record.